GUUUUAUCUUUCUGUCACCUUCUCUUCCUCUGUCACCUUCUCUUUCUCUGUCACAUCUUUUCAAUCAACUGUGCCCACACAGAUGCCAGGAUGAGUACAUUUACCAGGUAAGAGUAUAAAACACUGAUUUCCUAACUGAUACACAGGUGAGACAGGCAGGACAAACAAGCUACUAGGUUAAGUGUUGAUCCCAUCCUCUAAUCCUUCUGAUGAGAUGCUUCAGUCCUUUUGGUGAGGAAGACAAUGGUUCAAACAGAUUGAUCCAUUUUGUGGAUGAGAUGUUUUUCUUCUGACUCCCUUACAAUUGUAACAGUUUUCAGUCCAGAGUUUUAUAUUUUAAAUCUUUGAGCUACUAUUGUUAUAAUUUAAAUAUUUGCUGUUACUAUCUAAAUUGUCCCAUCUUUAUCUGUGAUUUUGCUUCUGUUAUUUUACACUGUUCUAGCCUGUAUGCUUCCUUUCUGCUUUUUCUCAUCUCUGUCUUAUCAGAAGUCUAAGCUGGAGUUAGACAGCUGUACUGUGUCCAAACCAGAAUCUGGAUCACACACAGCUGAAACCCUGGAAGGAGGAUUACAGGAUAAACAUACUUGCUUCAGUAAGAAAAUAAUGAUGCAAAAAGCCAGCUUGUGUUACAACAGCUCCACAGAACAAAGAAUAAAGGACAUUUGGUGCCAGUCUUGCCGUGACUCCUCACAAAGGACACUGAAGAGAGCCAUAAACAGAAGAGAGACAUUGGCUUCCUGUUCCAGCCACUUGUCCUCAGCAGUCUAAAAUCAGCAUGAUGAACCUUUCAGCUGUUGCUGCAAUAUGCUACAGAAGAGGACAUCAUUACUCCGGCAAUACUAGUCCCGUGACAGUUUCAUCUCGAAUUCAGCCUGUAAAAUAUUUGGGGUAGUUGUCAAACACAUUUCUGCUUUUAGAUGAAUAUUUCUUAAUCCUUUAUUUAGUGAAUAUAUCUUUGUACAAGUUAAGAUAAGCAGUGUGUUUAAUAGUUUUCAUAAGGUGGUGGAUUAUCUGUACCAUGUUUCUCGUAAAUUGAAUCUGGGUGAAAAUACCCAAUGACCGGCUGGUUUCUCAUUAUUUUUCAAACACCAUACCACAG
This 1099-nucleotide long non-coding RNA is filed under the name Cyanistes caeruleus (blue tit). RNAcentral describes it as "lncRNA (ENSCCEG00000006979.1)". Lineage: Eukaryota; Metazoa; Chordata; Aves; Passeriformes; Paridae. The record is from RNAcentral.